UGUUAAAUUUUCAUUUAUUUGUACUGUUAAAACCUAGCAUGGCUGACGGAAUAAUCGGAUCUUAUGCUGACGUACAGGGACCAGUUUUUAAUAGUAGAAAUGGAUGAAACUUUUAAUA
Non-coding RNA from Gossypium raimondii (Peruvian cotton), 118 nucleotides. Lineage: Eukaryota; Viridiplantae; Streptophyta; Magnoliopsida; Malvales; Malvaceae. The record is from Rfam.